Molecule: transfer RNA, 83 nt
Filed under: Canis lupus familiaris (dog)
Lineage: Eukaryota; Metazoa; Chordata; Mammalia; Carnivora; Canidae
Also listed under: 1 other name
Rfam family: tRNA
About the family: Transfer RNA (tRNA) molecules are approximately 80 nucleotides in length. Their secondary structure includes four short double-helical elements and three loops (D, anti-codon, and T loops). Further hydrogen bonds mediate the characteristic L-shaped molecular structure. tRNAs have two regions of fundamental functional importance: the anti-codon, which is responsible for specific mRNA codon recognition, and the 3' end, to which the tRNAs corresponding amino acid is attached (by aminoacyl-tRNA synthetases). tRNAs cope with the degeneracy of the genetic code in two manners: having more than one tRNA (with a specific anti-codon) for a particular amino acid; and 'wobble' base-pairing, i.e. permitting non-standard base-pairing at the 3rd anti-codon position.
Source: Rfam by way of RNAcentral
GCCUGGGUGGCUCAGUGGUUGAGCACCUGUCUUUGGCUCAGGUCAUGAUCCCAGGGUCCUGGGAUCGUGUCCCACAUCAGGCU